GUGCUACUUGGUCAGAGUCAAAACCUGGAUGAAACAGGGUCAAAUGGAAACGGAAAAAUCCUGAGCAUCCACUCGUCGGAGAGUCAGCAGGAAUUCUUCAGGAUGCUGGACGAGAAAAUCGAAAAGGGCCGGGACUACUGCUCAGAGGAGAAGAUAUGAUGA
Sphaeramia orbicularis (orbiculate cardinalfish) is the source of this 162-nucleotide long non-coding RNA. RefSeq lists it as uncharacterized. The transcript has 3 exons. Lineage: Eukaryota; Metazoa; Chordata; Actinopteri; Kurtiformes; Apogonidae. The record is from RefSeq and is a predicted model, not a curated record.